AAGACUAUAGUUGCAGGGACCAUGCAUAUAGUUCAUCACUAGAGAAGUUUCUCUGAUUGUGUAGAGCACCCAAAGCCACAAGGAAGAUAAGGAAGAUAAGGAAGAGUGGUUUAUGAGCAUGAAGCUGGUUCUAGAUGUUGCUUUUGCAAUUUCCUUUUACCGUUGAUGAACCUUCCUCUCUUCCUUUGGAAGAGGGAGAGGGAGAGGGUACAGUUUGAGUGAU
Sorex fumeus (smoky shrew) is the source of this 223-nucleotide small nucleolar RNA. RefSeq annotates it as small nucleolar RNA U3. NCBI's taxonomy places the organism in Eukaryota, Metazoa, Chordata, Mammalia, Eulipotyphla, Soricidae. The transcript has a single exon. The record is from RefSeq and is a predicted model, not a curated record.